Anopheles arabiensis is the source of this 2074-nucleotide long non-coding RNA. RefSeq lists it as uncharacterized. The transcript is spliced from 2 exons. The record is from RefSeq and is a predicted model, not a curated record. NCBI's taxonomy places the organism in Eukaryota, Metazoa, Arthropoda, Insecta, Diptera, Culicidae.
AGAAGUUUGGCCUUUAUGUCGAAACCACCGUAACUUGCCCACCCCACCGUCUCUCAUUCACCGGGAUUUUGACCGGGAUCACCUGAAAUAUAACACACUACACACACAUACGUACACAAACAAACAAAGAAACAUACACUUCGGUGUGGGGGAGAGCAUAAAGAACGGCCAUAUGCAGCAAACCAAAAUCAACGUACAAAACAAAAAAUAUGACGACAUAUUUGUACAAAAGGCUACUCACAAACACGCUCACAGACGACACACUGUGAUCGGUACCGAAAUCGCCCACAGGAACACAGAAACCACCGAGAACCGUACAGAACCGGGGUGACGGGGAACAAAAAGCACGGGACACAAAAGUUUCCUCUCAUCACACACAUCAGGGUCAGAGGGCAGAAAGUUUAACAAGAAGAGUUUCAAUGGCUAGUCAAAAGUAGUUGACUCGGGUAGUUCGGUGGUCGUAUACAGAUGUUCGGUGCAGUCCUUUCCAGUAUUGGGAAGAAAUGAGGCGAUGAACUGUGACGAGGGUCACCUUUAGUGUAUAAGUAAUAUCUAAUCGCAUGCAUACUAACUAACGAACAACUAGAAUUAAACUGUAGCUGAAAAAACCAAAGACAACACGCAAAAAAAAUAAUCCUUAUGGUCUUCUCGGGAAGGUGGUGCAUGAAGGAGUAAACCAGAACGAAAGCUUUCAAGCACGAUUGGCCCCGUAAACCGUUAAACUCUCGGGCGAAAACACAACACAUCUACUUGUGCAUGGAGCUUGAAUUCGUUUCUCACUGAAUCCUCUCUAACCUCGAUAAGUGUGUACUAACCAACUUGGCUCGGUCCGGACAGAAUCAAUAGCAAUAACUACGGGCUGCAGGAAUGUUACUUAGAAAUUACUAGGGCGGUUGGGUUUAUAUUGAGGAAAAUCGGCUAAAAAAAUGCUGCGGAAAAUGGAAGGACUCGCUGCGGGAGCAGUUGCUCUCAUUGAACUAACUCAGCACGGGGGAGUGUGUGUGUACUAAUAUGCACCAUCAGAUGUUGGUAGUAGACCGUUAGAAAUUGGUAAUGAAUAGAAGGUGCAUCAAAGAUUUCCAGCUUAUGUGUGUUUAUCUUAUAGGCUGCUUUUAGUAAGAUUAGGAGUCGUUAAAAUCCGUUUGGUACAAAAUCUACUAUUGUUGUAAUGUUCUAAACUUUGUUCCAAAAACUUAUGUACAAUGAGGGGAAAUUACUACCCAAUUGACAUUUUCGAGUUCUAAAAUCGGGGAUUCGAGCUAUUUCCCUUAAAUUUGCACAUUAAACUUCUCUUAAACUGCACCAGUUUAAGGGACUUUUAGAACAAGCCCUUUAAAAUCGACUGUGAAGUGUAUUUUUCUUUGCUUUUUUAUCUUUUUGGGAAAUAAUGUUUCCAAUUCUUAUUACUGGUCGUAUACUUAUUUUAUUAAAAAAAAACAUCAAAUUUUCACCAAAUAACGUCGUACGAAAUGAACCCACGUUCUUUUUUCGCCAAAUAUUAAAGCAAAUUAAUCUAAAACGAAUUGGACGCCAUCUUCAUCCAACAGAAGAAGGUCAUUCGCACGUACAAACGAAAUUUUGACAAUUUCAACAUGGUUUAUCACAAACAAAUCCACAAUUUUUGGUGUUUCGAUCACUAUUCGAGCAGAUCAUGGUUACAAAAUUUAGAACAAAAUUAAUAUAAGGGAUGUUCAUUUUGAUUUGUUUUGCCAAUGUCAACCAUCAUUAAAGUAAAACAUUUAGGUAACUUGUCUAGAAUAUUUCGAAACCCCCCAUUAUUUGCCGAAUUUAUCGAAUCGAAUUUAAACGAACUGGUGAGCCAUUACUAUAUGUUGGUUUGGUAAUUAAUUGCUGUUUGAUUUAUUGAUUUGAAAUUAAUUUUACUAAUUCUACUGAUUUACUGAUUCAAAUAAUUUAAGUUGAAUUGAAUGAAAAAAUUUGGUGAGCUUGCUGUAUAACAUGCGAGCUUGUCGUUUUAAAAUGAUUAAAAAAAAGGAUCAAUUACCGUUGGAUUUUCGAGUGAUUUAUCAAUUCGAUAAUUUUUUCAUUCUUAACUUCUUGUUUGUACUAAAAA